GCGUCCUGGGAGCAGUCUGACGGAGCACGCCGCGUGAGUGAUGAAGGUCUUCGGAUCGUAAAACUCUGUUGUUAGGGAAGAACAAGUAUCGUUCGAAUAGGGCGGUACCUUGACGGUACCUAACCAGAAAGCCACGGCUAACUACGUGCCAGCAGCCGCGGUAAUAA
Molecule: ribosomal RNA, 167 nt
Filed under: uncultured bacterium
Lineage: Bacteria
Description: partial 16S ribosomal RNA
Rfam family: Bacterial small subunit ribosomal RNA
Source: RNAcentral